CCUACGGGGGGCAGCAGUGAGGAAUAUUGGUCAAUGGACGGAAGUCUGAACCAGCCAUGCCGCGUGCAGGAAGACGGCUCUAUGAGUUGUAAACUGCUUUUGUACAAGGGUAAACCUGAAUACGUGUAUUCAGCUGAAAGUACUGUACGAAUAAGGAUCGGCUAACUCCGUGCCAGCAGCCGCGGUAAUAAGGAGGAUCCAAGCGUUAUCCGGAUUUAUUGGGGUUAAAGGGUGCGUAGGCGGAUUUAUAAGUUAGAGGGUAAAUGUCCGAGCUUAACUCGGGAACUGCCUCUAAUACUGUUGGUCUAGAGAGUAGAUGCGGUAGGCGGAAUGUAUGGUGUAGCGGUGAAAUGCUUAGAGAUCAUACAGAACACCGAUUGCGAAGGCAGCUUACCAAUCUAUAUCUGACGUUGAGGCACGAAAGCGUGGGGAGCAAACAGGAUUAGAUACCCCGGUAGUC
This 460-nucleotide ribosomal RNA is filed under the name uncultured bacterium. RNAcentral describes it as "partial 16S ribosomal RNA". It matches the Rfam family "Bacterial small subunit ribosomal RNA", at positions 338 to 795 of the family's 1533-position model. The record is from RNAcentral.